GACGAACGCUGGCGGCGUGCUUAACACAUGCAAGUCGAACAGUAAGGCCCUUCGGGGUACACGAGUGGCGAACGGGUGAGUAACACGUGGGUGAUCUGCCCUACACUUCGGGAUAAGCCUGGGAAACUGGGUCUAAUACCGGAUAGGACCACUGCCUGCAUGGGUGGUGGUGGAAAGCUUUUGCGGUGUGGGAUGGGCCCGCGGCCUAUCAGCUUGUUGGUGGGGUGAUGGCCUACCAAGGCGACGACGGGUAGCCGGCCUGAGAGGGUGACCGGCCACACUGGGACUGAGAUACGGCCCAGACUCCUACGGGAGGCAGCAGUGGGGAAUAUUGCACAAUGGGCGCAAGCCUGAUGCAGCGACGCCGCGUGAGGGAUGACGGCCUUCGGGUUGUAAACCUCUUUCAGCACCGACGAAGCGCAAGUGACGGUAGGUGCAGAAGAAGGACCGGCCAACUACGUGCCAGCCGCCGCGGUAA
Molecule: ribosomal RNA, 478 nt
Filed under: uncultured bacterium
Lineage: Bacteria
Description: partial 16S ribosomal RNA
Rfam family: Bacterial small subunit ribosomal RNA
Source: RNAcentral